UGGGGAAUAUUGCACAAUGGGCGAAAGCCUGAUGCAGCGACGCCGCGUGAGGGAUGACGGCCUUCGGGUUGUAAACCUCUUUCAGUAGGGACGAAGCGCAAGUGACGGUACCUGCAGAAGAAGCACCGGCUAACUACGUGCCAGCAGCCGCGGUAAUACGUAGGGUGCGAGCGUUGUCCGGAAUUACUGGGCGUAAAGAGCUCGGAGGCGGUUUGUCACGUCGUCUGUUAAAUCCUAGGGCUUAACCCUGGACGUGCAGGCGAUACGGGCUGACUUUAGUACUACAGGGGAGACUGGAAUUUCUGGUGUAGCGGUGGAAUGCACAGAUAUCAGGAAGAACACCGAUGGCGAAGGCAGGUCUCUGGGUAGUAACUGACGCUGAGGAGCGAAAGCAUGGGUAGCGAACAGG
Molecule: ribosomal RNA, 409 nt
Filed under: bacterium
Lineage: Bacteria
Description: partial 16S ribosomal RNA
Rfam family: Bacterial small subunit ribosomal RNA
Source: RNAcentral